GUCGCUUACGAUUAGAGCAGAGGAGAGGGAGCGCGAAUACGCUCAGAAAUGCGUUCAGAAAUCUGUGCAGAAUUUCAAGCUCAGUUGCAAAUGAUCAUGGCGCAUAUUCCUGGACUGCAGAAUGUGCAUUUACAUCAUCAACAUCAGAUGGCUAUCCUAUCAAUUCACAAAGAGGGGAAGGCCUCAACUAGCUCCUAGACAACCUUGCCAAGAAGUUUAAAAGUCAUUGCAAGGUUUGCAUUUUAUUUGUUUCUUUGACACAUAGAUUUGUCCGUUUGUGUUCAUAAUAAGUCCAUAUGAUUGGUGAACCACACUUCACUACUGGUGCUGUUUCUAUUAACCAUUUUAACUCUGAGCCACUGCCCCAAUGUCAGCAGUACCCUGUUUUUCUACCAAUUUUAAGAAAUUUUUGUUUGGUUGUCUGUGCUCGACAUGAUAUCGAUGUUAUUAUCAAUGUUGAGCCUUCUAUUAUAUUAGUCGGCACAAUCUAGCAAAGCCGGUAUGGUUUGCAUGUAUCUUUCUAUGUUGAUAAAGCUGUGUUAUCCGGGAACCUCCUGAAGUUCAUCUUUUCCUUCCAGCCUAAGCGGCCUAAGAAGGUGAGAGUUCAUAUGCACUUGCGAAGAAUGUAGAGAAUUUACUGCCUUGACUUGUUUUUUCUGAACCUACUGAACCUCUCUUGCUGCCUUGACUUGUUUUCUUGUCAAGCAGAACUUUAAACACUCUUCAUUGAUGGUUCAGAUCACUACAGUGGGAGGAGCAUGCUUGUCGCUGCUCUCAUGGACAUAAUUACUUCGAACUGUGAUAGUAAUGGAAAGCACUAUGAAAUAAUUUUGAAGCACUCUAUUAGUUCAUUAUUGACCUGUACUUUGGUCAAUGUCUAGGUUUUUUAGUGUUGUUUUUUUUCAUGAUUUACUAUUUACUUUUCGAUUUGAUUAUUUGUUGAUGUAGGGUUUAUGAUUUUUCGACAAGGACUUUUGCUAGUUGUUACUUAUCUGACCUUCAUUUUUUUCCUUCUUAAUUUCUACAGUGUGUCGCAUCACACCGAUAUAGGAUCCAUUUCUUAAAUGGAAAUGAAUUACUAUUGAAAUAGGAGCUGAAGCAUUUUUUUUUAUCGUUUUUUAAGUAUUUUCUAUUUCCAAAGUUGAGAGAGUAAGGAAUAAUGUUGAAUUGUAUAUCGAAUGUUAUUACUCUAUUGCUUUUAAAUUGAUUUUGCUGUUAUUUUAUUUUUAAGCUGUUGUGGAUCAGAAGACAAUUAGCCUUUUAAAUUGUUGUUAAAAAAAUAAUUUUGUUUACUUUAAUAUUUUGUUUGUUAUUUUG
Ananas comosus (pineapple) is the source of this 1317-nucleotide long non-coding RNA. RefSeq lists it as uncharacterized. The transcript has 3 exons. Lineage: Eukaryota; Viridiplantae; Streptophyta; Magnoliopsida; Poales; Bromeliaceae. The record is from RefSeq and is a predicted model, not a curated record.